UAGGGAGUUUUCGGCAAUGGGGGGAACCCUGACCGAGCAACGCCGCGUGAGUGAUGAAGGUCUUCGGAUUGUAAAGCUCUGUUGUAAAGAACGAAUUGUAGGCCGAGGAAAUGCGGUCUAUUUGACGGUACUUUAUUAGAAAGCCACGGCUAACUACGUGCCAGCAGCCGCGGUAAUACGUAGGUGGCAAGCGUUAUCCGGAAUUAUUGGGCGUAAAGAGUGAGCAGGUGGUUGUCUAAGUCUGAAGUCAAAUGCAGUGGCUUAACCACUGUUCGCUUCGGAAACUAGGCGACUAGAGUACGAGAGAGGUAUGUGGAAUUCCAUGUGUAGCGGUGAAAUGCGUAGAUAUAUGGAGGAACACCAGUGGCGAAGGCGGCAUACUAGCUCGAUACUGACACUCAGUCACGAAAGCGUGUGUAGCAAAUAGG
RNAcentral lists this ribosomal RNA (428 nucleotides) under uncultured bacterium. RNAcentral describes it as "bacterial SSU rRNA". It matches the Rfam family "Bacterial small subunit ribosomal RNA", at positions 355 to 776 of the family's 1533-position model. The record is from RNAcentral.